CUCUCUCUAAGGAACUCGGCAAAAUGACUCCGUAACUUCGGGAGAAGGAGUGCCUUAUUUUUAAGGUUGCAAUAACAAGAUCCAAGCAACUGUUUACCAAAAACACAGGUCUCCGCUAAGUCGUAAGACGAUGUAUGGGGGCUGACGCCUGCCCAGUGCCAGAAGGUUAAGGAAGUUGGUUAGCACUUGCGAAGCUGAUAACUGAAGCCCUGGUGAACGGCGGCCGUAACUAUAACGGUCCUAAGGUAGCGAAAUUCCUUGUCGGGUAAGUUCCGACCCGCACGAAAGGCGUAAUGAUUUGGAUACUGUCUCGGAGAGGGGCUCGGUGAAAUAGACUUGUCUGUGAAGAUGCGGACUACCUGCACCUGGACAGAAAGACCCUAUGAAGCUUUACUGUAACUUGAGAUUGAGAUCGGACUUUAUUUGCGCAGUAUAGGUGGGAGGCGUUGAGAAUAAUCUUGCGGGAUUAUUGGAGCCAUCAGUGAGAUACCACUCUUGUAAUGUUAGAUUUCUAACUUUGGAUCAUUAUCUGGUCAAAGAACAGUUUCAGGCGGGCAGUUUGACUGGGGCGGUCGCCUCCCAAACGGUAACGGAGGCGCACAAAGGUUUCCUCUGAACGGGUAGAAAUCGUAUCUAGAGUGUAAAGGCAUAAGGAAGCUUGACUGUGAGACCUACAAGUCGAGCAGGGACGAAAGUCGGUCUUAGUGAUCUGACGGUGCUGAGUGGAAAGGCCGUCACUCAACGGAUAAAAGUUACUCUAAGGAUAACAGGCUGAUCUCCCCCAAGAGUUCACAUCGACGGGGAGGUUUGGCACCUCGAUGUCGGCUCAUCGCAUCCUGGGGCGGUAGUACGUCCCAAGGGUUGGGCUUUCGCCCAUGAAAGCGGUACGCGAGCUGGGUUCAGAACGUCGUGAGACAGUUCGGUCCAUAUCCGGUGUAGGCGUUAGAAUAUUGAGAGGAGCCUUCUCUAGUACGAGAGGACCGAGAAGGACAUACCUCUGGUGUACCAGUUAUCGUGCCAACGGUAAACGCUGGGUAGCUAUGUAUGGAGUGGAUAACCGCUGAAAGCAUCUAAGUGGGAAGCCCACCUCAAGAUAAGUAUUCUCAUCACGUAAGUGAAUAAGGUCACGGUAAGACGAACCGUUUGAUAGGCAUUAAGUGUAAAUCUAGUAAUAGGUGUGCUGAGAUGUACUAACAGACCGAAGACUUGAAUAA
This 1214-nucleotide ribosomal RNA is filed under the name metagenome. Its description in RNAcentral is "bacterial LSU rRNA". It matches the Rfam family "Bacterial large subunit ribosomal RNA", at positions 1699 to 2925 of the family's 2925-position model. The record is from RNAcentral.